GUAAAAAUGUAGCUGCGGAGUGCCUCUUACAGAAUGCUUUUAAGGAAAUUCAGUGCUGUGAAAAUGGUCUCUCUAAGAAUCUUUCUGAAGAAUUGCUCAAGCUUUUGUGGACAGUUCAUGUAACAUCUGAGGACUUCGUAUUUCCUGAGAACUAUAUGAAUGCUACCAGAGAAGCAACAUGGGACAGACAAAAGUGACAAUAUAGAAAACAAGACUUGUCAGAACACAAUUACUUCAUCCCGACAGCCCCCUUUUGGAAGGCACCAUUAAUUCUCCAUCACAUGGCUCAGUAUUUCAGAAGAUUAUUUUGUGUAUCUGUACAUAUAUAGA
This is a long non-coding RNA of Cygnus olor (mute swan), 330 nucleotides long. RefSeq lists it as uncharacterized. The record is from RefSeq and is a predicted model, not a curated record. The transcript has 3 exons. NCBI's taxonomy places the organism in Eukaryota, Metazoa, Chordata, Aves, Anseriformes, Anatidae.